Mya arenaria is the source of this 2057-nucleotide long non-coding RNA. RefSeq lists it as uncharacterized. The record is from RefSeq and is a predicted model, not a curated record. The transcript is spliced from 3 exons. Lineage: Eukaryota; Metazoa; Mollusca; Bivalvia; Myida; Myidae.
CUGAGCAGAAUCAUCCUGAAGAAACAGACAACUUUAAAACUGGUGCACUUACAGGGGGCGUUAUUGGUGGUGUAGUAGUGCUAGUGUCUGCUGUAGCUAUAACUGUUUUUGUCAAACGAAGAUUAUCACGAAAGGAAGCACAAGACUAUGAAAACAAGCGAGAGACUACAACUUCUGGCGGAAAUGCAACUCAACCAGGACCAUACGAAACAUUAAAUAGCAGCCGCAUGGAGAAAAAUGACAGAGAUAUCUACACCAGGUUGUUCUCGGCAGGACAAGUUAAAAUGACGAAAGGUGCAAGCCCUAAUAGAACCACAGUAGAUCUUUUGAAUGUCGUAGGUGAUGAAAGAGACAAAUCUGGAUCGUAUGAAAUAUUAAAUGCAACCCUUUUUAAAGAAAAUGAGGGAAGUGAUACCUACAAAAGGCUUUUCACGACAGGACAAGCUGGAGGAACAGACAAUGACAAUUCCGAAAAUAUUUCAAUGGAUAAUCUUACAAUAAGUCUGGAUUCUCACUCAUACGCAAACACGAUGAUAAGGCAAUGACAACAUCAUCGAGGAUAUUAAAAAACAAGCCAAAAUAUGAAAUCAUAGUUGAAGAAAUCACAACACCGUUCAAGAAACGACAACACAGGUCAAGACAUAAAACACUAUUAGUUUAUUGUUUAAGGUGUUUAUGUUUUGAAGCACUAUAAUUUAAUUUAAAGAAACACUUAUUUUCUGGAACCGAGUAUCAUACAGUCACAGUGACAUUAAUUUAUAUAAUAGUGGAUUUUUGGUAGAUAGCUGUCGACUGUGGCAAUAUUGUUGAAACUGUUUUUUCCAGAUAUUCGUAAAGCUUUCGAUCUUGUUAAUCAUGGUAUUCUUGUUCCUGAAAUACAUAUGUAUCAUGUUUUUCGUUCCAGCUAUAGGCAAUGUGUAAGUUGAUGGUGACAAAAUCUACAUUGCAAUAUGUCAAAAGUAAUGGUACACAAGCAACCGUUAUGCAACAAUAUUCAUUUUAAUUUAUGCUCCGGCUUGCUCGGAGUGUUUGGCAUGUGACCUCAUUUUCUUCAAUUAUUUUUCAUAGGUUAUCAUUUGGAAAAAAGAUCAGCUAAUAUAGGUUUCUUUUAUUUUUAAUUAUGUUUUCUUUAUUUGUUAACAGUUUUGGUACAAUGAUGCUUUUUAUUAUGAAACUCUGUGAUCACACAAUUUUAAACCUUUAUUUUAUGAGGUAGACUGUGUGUGAUGCUCAUAGUUUCAAACAAUGACUGCAUCGUAUCUUUGAAAGUUUUAGGCAUUAGGUGCUCUGAAUUGUAUUCCUCAGUCUGCAGAUAGAGUUGAGUUAGAGUAAUCAUAACAGUACUUGGGGUUUACCUAUUCGUUUAUUAAUAUAAUUUGUUUUUUUAUUAAGUUUCCUCAAGUAAUACAUGCUUUGAUAAGAUUUACCUUUUACGAUUGUUGGGAUUAGGGUGAGGUUUGUGCACGUAAACUGGUUUAAACCCCCAGUAAAUUUAUAAUUUACUGAUCGUUCCAAGGCAGUACCUAACAAUCCUUGAUAAACAUACCUAGUUUUUGUUAUAAAGUAUAUAUGCACUGUGCUGUUUGUGAAGUUUUGUGCUGUUCUUCCAUGUUUCUUAUUUGUGAUUUUUUUUUUGUGUUCUAUGUCUUUGGCGUUUACCCAGUGCCAUUAAACCGGGUUGAUUUUUUAAACUUGUUUCUGUAGUUUUUCUCAAACGUAUUCAUAUCAAUUGUUUAAACUUUUUUGUCAGAACAAAUCCUGUAUUUACCUCUUGUCUGAUGAUUCUAUACACAAUUUAGUAUAUUUCCCGAAUUGAAAAUGCUCAUAUUUUAAUGAUGAAUGUCUGGCAGUUGCAAUAUGACGAUUGCUGGUCAUAAUAAUUGAAUGUUUGUGCUGUUUCCAUAUAAAAAUUGUAAAUCCAAAAACCAAGUAUAGUCCACAUUUUGUCACACGUGACUACUUCAUUGUUAACAAUUUAAGCAAGUACCUUAAUGUAGUAUCUUUAUAAAAUAAUGUCAUUGUUAAAAUCACGAGCAGGACAAACUGGUUUACGUACA